CAGCCGAGCUGUCAAAGAGACUAUACCUUCAAGAUGUAAUCUGUUUGCAGACUUCUUUCAAGUCCUUCGACCGAUAUUGCCUGCGCAAAAACAAAAGAUUCUAGUCAACCACCGAUCUUAAAGGGGCAAAAAAGAAAAAAAAUCAACAAUACAUACAUUUUAAUGCAAUCGAGAGUACAUUGAUUGGUUGAUAAAAUCUACCUGUUCGGCUACCAACGCCCUGACAACGAGCUGAGAAGUCAACUGUCUCCCUAACUGUCAUCUCUGCAAUGUGCAGAUCAUAUUGACUUAUAUACGCCGAGGUUUUCUGAGGAACAAACUCGUCCAGUCUGUGUCCAUUGUAAGAGAUUUCACCUGAACACUGGAAAAACGAGAAAAAGGAGGACCAAGCAACAGUGUUAACCUGCAACAACAAGAUGAUAAAUACUUUUCAAAACUUUGAUCAAGACUAGUGAGGAGAUACAGUAAACUUCUUCAACUACUAACCUUCCCGGCUUUAGAAUGCCAUUAACAUCAUUCAGAAUGUUGAUCUUGGCUUCACGCGUUUUUGCACCUGUGAGCUUCACAAGUUCCUGCAGAAAAGAAACACUUUAGGAUUCAACCCAGAGGCUUUUAAAGCAAACGCAGAAUCAAGACAAUAACAACUUUUUUGAAUUUGCAGAAAUUGUUGAGUACUCACAGAGAAAACGCGCUUAGCAGUGUUCCACAGUGUUGGAAGUGCCUUCCCUUCAACAAUCUCGCACUCGGCCUCUACUUUCAAACUCUCGUACCUCACUUCUAUAGUCGGUAACUCCAUCCCGACUCUGCAUAACACAGUUUCAAGCUCAAAGUUCCAAACUUAAUGGAAUCGAAAUAUUCACAAAAUGGGAUGACGUUCCAUGGCUCCAAGCUUUGUGACAUCAACGACUCUCUUUCCUUUCUCGGUCAUGGACUCAUCGCCAUCAUCGAGGAGAGUAGAUCUCAUGCGUUUGACGGUUGGUAAUCUCUCGAUCUCAGCCC
Long non-coding RNA from Eutrema salsugineum, 999 nucleotides. RefSeq lists it as uncharacterized. The transcript has 4 exons. The record is from RefSeq and is a predicted model, not a curated record. Lineage: Eukaryota; Viridiplantae; Streptophyta; Magnoliopsida; Brassicales; Brassicaceae.